GCCUACCUAGAUCAAGAUCUCCUCCUUCAAGUCAUUCGGAAGUACCAAGCGAAGCUGACAGAAGACCUGAAUGAUGCUGGCAUCAACGCCUCGAUAACCAAGGUGGAGGCGGGCAAGGUGGAACCGCCAGACAUCGUCACGGACGUGCCGCCAGACCGGACCCCGAUCUGGCCGCUGCCACCCCCGGGUCUCUCGCCUGGCGCCAUCGCCGGCAUCGUAGUUGGUUCGUUAGCGUUACUAGCCGUGUGUGGAGGGUUGGCGGUGUUCCUGAAGACAAAGAUAUGGAAUUCCAGUUCAAGCACUGUAAAACCACUGAAGGUGAAGCAGUGUGAUCUUGACUCUGAUGAAUGUGAUAGUUCUGCUAAAAGAAAUGACGCAGAAACGAAAUUUUGUCAUUAGUAAGAUGAAACCUGGAGUGGAGUUUUGGGUGGCAAGUCUACUGGGGAAGGAAGUGUGACAGUUGACACCCACAAUGGAUCUAAAGAAUAGAAACUUGUGUACGUGCAAAGCUUUCUUCUUGCGAGAUUGCACCCGGUAGAAUUACACCCUGCCUGCGUACUUCUACAUAUAUUUUGGAGCAUCACCCCCCCCCUUGGAGUUGGUGGCGAGGUGUUUUUGUUUGUAAUGCACAGUCUGGAAAAUGCCCAUCCAUGCAUUUUUUUCGCAUAAUAUAGUUCUUUUGGUAGUGAAACAAAAUAUGUUUCACAACUUUUACCCCGUCCAAACAUUAACGUACAUAGCCCUUUGCUAUUUCAUACAAACUUGGUGUUUUCCAAGGUUAACUAAGAUAAUAUAGUACAUUAUGACUGUGCGGAGUUGGCGACAUUUUACAGUACCAACAAGCAAUUUUUCGAGCAGCUAAUUUUGUAACAACAGUUGACUGUCUCUUCCAAUGGAGGCCACGUUCACAACCUUGGAAUUACAUACUUACUCAUCAAAAUGCCUCCAUCAAAGUAGGAAAUUAUUUUGUUUUGAAAUACAUGCAUUUGAAAGAUCACCAUGGAAUAUCACCAUGGAUAGAUAAGUUUCUAAAUGAUUAAUCUGUUCUGUAAAGUUAUACAUGCGCAUGAAUUGUUAAGUAAACAGGUUUGCGGUAGCACCAUGCAAGGAUAUCUCUUUUGCUAGUAUGUGUGGUUCUGAAAAGAACCGGUGCGUACUCAAUAUUUCGGACAGUAUUCUCUGUCCGUCGUAAGGAGACUGCCUGACAUGAUAAAUUAAUUUUAAAAUAUUUACUUUAAUAACAAAGAAAGAGUUAAAACCUAGGUUCAACUGAAAGUAAAUUGGCUAAAUGCGAUUUGUUAAAAGAAAUACAAAGACAAAUUACAGAACAACAUACGUUACAAGUAGCAUAUAUAAAUAUGAAUAAGUGAACUGACGAAAAAGAUAAAAUAAGAAUAAAAAAGGAUUAUGUAUAUAAAUGAACAAGACACAGUAAAAAUAAGGGAAAUGAAAAUCUGAAUUCGCCACUGAACAGGAAACAGAAAAUGCAGCGCAGCAGGUCGAAAAGAUUCAGAGAGAAUAUCAACCGUAAACUGUUACGAGCGUUUCCCAUUAUGCUUGACGUAAUAAUUCAAUGUCACACCUCCAUUUCUGUGUAUAUUUUGAUCUAUCGGUUUUUGAAGAAUAUACAGUUAAUUUUAUUGGAAAUUCUUCUGAACAAUUGACACUUUCUGAAUAAGGUGACGUCACUAGAAUGGUUUAAAAUCGCGGCAUGGAGUUUUUGUUACACAGCCGAACAGCUAGCAAGUGUUCCAUCGCUUCUACGUUAUAUCAAACCUCACUGUUCAACUUUUGACACAAGGUCCCCUAUUUGGUUUUGAAGAUUCUCGUUCAUGUAAAUAUUGUAUAGGAGAUCUUGAAAAUUAAGGUAUUGGCUCUAAGAAAAGAAAAUGCAAAUUGUUUUUCUAAAAUAAUAUUCAUGUUAAGUAGUGUGCUAGUUUUUUAAAUAAUAAUUGCUAGCCCUUUUUUGUGCUUUGUAGUUUUGAAUUUCAUGUCGAUCGUUUAAUCUUCUUGCUGUAGGCCUAUUUCACCUGCAACCGUAAACUCAAUUUUCUGUGAUGAAAAUGUAUAUUAUAAUCCAUGUAGUAGCCACGAGUCACUUGCCUGAACUAGAUGAAAAUAUAACUGGACCACUUUGAUAUGGCAUUGGCACUUUGUAUUUAUAUUCCGUGCGUGUUUUCUGAGUUAAUGGCAUUGUUUUCACAUAAUUAUUAUUAAAGUAUUUUUUGUAAAUAGUAACUUAUUUAGCCAUACGUGUUUGUGAUAAAGACUUUGAAUAUAUUGUUGUAAUAGAAUUACUGCACAUAAAGGCAGGCCAUCGUACGAUAAUACUACAUUUUAACUGAGCCCUAUUACCUCUAAAAAGAUUAAUUAAAAUAAAAAUAAAUACACACCUUUCCGCAGAGGAUUGUUACCAUCUUUGCGUGGAAAGCCCCAAGGUAAACUAAAAUGAGACUGGGUAUGCAUUAACUUAGAGACAAUGUAAAGUACCCUACAUGAGUGUAUUAUGCGUAUGGCUGGAAAUGAAUGAGCGAGGUCGCCCCUGCUCAGAUUGCAGCCGAGCCGCGGGUAGUCUUGGUUCCAAGACUUUACUAUCUGUGUUCAUGUAAUAAUGAACGCUUUCGCGCAGAACAUUUUACCAGUCAACUGAGGGCGCUAUGUGAUGGCCGAUAGUGCAGGAUUGUCGUAAGCGUAGGUAAGGCUGCAUCUGAAUUCGAAUCUCUUGUCUAGAGCUAGGUCUAGGUC
This 2745-nucleotide long non-coding RNA is filed under the name Acanthaster planci (crown-of-thorns starfish). RNAcentral describes it as "uncharacterized LOC110987838". The record is from RNAcentral. Lineage: Eukaryota; Metazoa; Echinodermata; Asteroidea; Valvatida; Acanthasteridae.